This 324-nucleotide ribosomal RNA is filed under the name uncultured Spirochaetota bacterium. RNAcentral's name for it is "bacterial SSU rRNA". It matches the Rfam family "Bacterial small subunit ribosomal RNA", at positions 29 to 351 of the family's 1533-position model. Lineage: Bacteria; Pseudomonadati; Spirochaetota. The record is from RNAcentral.
AACGAACGCUGGCGGCGCGUCUUAAGCAUGCAAGUCGAGCGGCAAGGGGAGCAAUCCCCCUAGAGCGGCGGACUGGUGAGUAACACGUGGGUGAUCUACCUUUAGGUUGGGGAUAGCCUGUGGAAACACAGGGUAAUACCGAAUGUGGUUGCGUGACUGAGGUUACGUAAAGAAAGGAGCUACGGCUCCGCCUUGAGAUGAGCCCGCGGCCCAUUAGCUAGUUGGGGGUGUAACGGACCACCAAGGCGAUGAUGGGUAGCCGGCCUGAGAGGGUGAACGGCCACACUGGGACUGAGAUACGGCCCAGACUCCUACGGGUGGCUG